Molecule: ribosomal RNA, 538 nt
Filed under: Bifidobacterium adolescentis
Lineage: Bacteria; Bacillati; Actinomycetota; Actinomycetes; Bifidobacteriales; Bifidobacteriaceae
Description: partial 16S ribosomal RNA
Rfam family: Bacterial small subunit ribosomal RNA
Source: RNAcentral
UGGUAAUGCCGGAUGCUCCAGUUGACCGCAUGGUCCUCUGGGAAAGCUUUUGCGGUAUGGGAUGGGGUCGCGUCCUAUCAGCUUGAUGGCGGGGUAACGGCCCACCAUGGCUUCGACGGGUAGCCGGCCUGAGAGGGCGACCGGCCACAUUGGGACUGAGAUACGGCCCAGACUCCUACGGGAGGCAGCAGUGGGGAAUAUUGCACAAUGGGCGCAAGCCUGAUGCAGCGACGCCGCGUGCGGGAUGACGGCCUUCGGGUUGUAAACCGCUUUUGACUGGGAGCAAGCCCUUCGGGGUGAGUGUACCUUUCGAAUAAGCACCGGCUAACUACGUGCCAGCAGCCGCGGUAAUACGUAGGGUGCAAGCGUUAUCCGGAAUUAUUGGGCGUAAAGGGCUCGUAGGCGGUUCGUCGCGUCCGGUGUGAAAGUCCAUCGCUUAACGGUGGAUCCGCGCCGGGUACGGGCGGGCUUGAGUGCGGUAGGGGAGACUGGAAUUCCCGGUGUAACGGUGGAAUGUGUAGAUAUCGGAAAAAAAACA